UACAGAGGUCCCAAGCGUUGUUUGGAUUCACUGGGCGUAAAGGGUGCGUAGGCGGUCAGGUAAGUCUGAUGUGAAAUCUCUGGGCUUAACCCAGAAAUGGCAUUGGAUACUAUUUGGCUUGAGAGUUGGAGGGGGGACUGGAAUUCUUGGUGUAGCAGUGAAAUGCGUAGAUAUCAAGAGGAACACCAGUGGCGAAGGCGAGUCCCUGGACAACUUCUGACGCUGAGGCACGAAAGCUAGGGGAGCAAACAGG
Molecule: ribosomal RNA, 253 nt
Filed under: uncultured bacterium
Lineage: Bacteria
Description: partial 16S ribosomal RNA
Rfam family: Bacterial small subunit ribosomal RNA
Source: RNAcentral